CAGCCGCCGCGGGAAUACGAAGGGGGCUAGCGUUGUUCGGAAUUACUGGGCGUAAAGCGCACGUAGGCGGAUAUUUAAGUCAGGGGUGAAAUCCCGCAGCUCAACUGCGGAACUGCCUUUGAUACUGGGUAUCUUGAGUAUGGAAGAGGUUAGUGGAAUUGCGAGUGUAGAGGUGAAAUUCGUAGAUAUUCGCAGGAACACCAGUGGCGAAGGCGGCUAACUGGUCCAUAACUGACGCUGAGGUGCGAAAGCGUGGGGAGCAAACAGGAUUAGAUACCCCCGUAGUCCCUGUCUCUUAUAC
Molecule: ribosomal RNA, 301 nt
Filed under: uncultured bacterium
Lineage: Bacteria
Description: partial 16S ribosomal RNA
Rfam family: Bacterial small subunit ribosomal RNA
Source: RNAcentral